This 538-nucleotide ribosomal RNA is filed under the name uncultured bacterium. Its description in RNAcentral is "bacterial SSU rRNA". It matches the Rfam family "Bacterial small subunit ribosomal RNA", at positions 530 to 1064 of the family's 1533-position model. The record is from RNAcentral.
AGGUGCAACGUUGUUCGGAAUUAUUGGGCGUAAAGCGCGUGUAGGCGGUCCUGUGUGUCAGAUGUGAAAUCCUCGGGCUCAACCCGGGACGGGCAUUUGAAACUGCAGGACUUGAGUACGAGAGAGGGAAGCGGAAUUCCCGGUGUAGCAGUGAAAUGCGUAGAUAUCGGGAGGAACACCAGUGGCGAAGGCGGCUUCCUGGAUCGCAACUGACGCUGAGACGCGAAAGCGUGGGUAGUAAACAGGAUUAGAUACCCUGGUAAUCCACGCCCUAAACGAUGGGUACUAGGUGUUGUGGGUGUUUGACCCCCGCAGUGCCGAAGCUAACGCGAUAAGUACCCCGCCUGGGGAGUUACGGCCGCAAGGUUAAAACNCAANGAAUUGACGGGGGCCCCGCACAAGCGGUGGAGUAUGUGGUUCAAUUCGACGCAACGCGAAGAAACUUACCCAGGCUUGACAUGCAAGGAACCCCGAUGAAAUUGGGGGUUCCCGCAANGGAACCUUGACACAGGUUGCUGCAUGCUGUCGUCACAUGUUA